GUCCACGCCGUAAACGAUGGGUACUAGGUGUCUGGGGAGCGACCCCUGGGUGCCGGCGCUAACGCAUGAAGUACCCCGCCUGGGAGUACGGCCGCAAGGCUGAAACUCAAAGGAAUUGACGGGGCCCGCACAAGCGGUGGAGCAUGUGGUUUAAUUCGACGCAACGCGAAGAACCUUACCUGGGCUUGACAUGCUGGAGAAAGCUCGCAGAAAACGUGGGCCCCUCUUCGGAGUUCCAGCACAGAUGCUGCAUGGCUGUCGU
RNAcentral lists this ribosomal RNA (262 nucleotides) under uncultured bacterium. RNAcentral's name for it is "partial 16S ribosomal RNA". It matches the Rfam family "Bacterial small subunit ribosomal RNA", at positions 793 to 1055 of the family's 1533-position model. The record is from RNAcentral.